Molecule: unclassified non-coding RNA, 406 nt
Filed under: uncultured fungus
Lineage: Eukaryota; Fungi
Description: partial contains small subunit ribosomal RNA, internal transcribed spacer 1, and 5.8S ribosomal RNA
Rfam family: Eukaryotic small subunit ribosomal RNA (bases 1-73)
Source: RNAcentral
GCAAACUUGGUCAUUUAGAGGAAGUAAAAGUCGUAACAAGGUUUCCGUAGGUGAACCUGCGGAAGGAUCAUUAUUGAAUAUUACCUGAUGAGUUGUAGCUGGCCCCUGAGGCAUGUGCACGCUUGUCUUUGUUCUAUUCAUCCACCUGUGCACCAUUUGUAGUCUUUGAGGGUUGGGGAGCAGUAGAUUUAUCAGUCGAAAUGACUGGACGAGAGGACUGCAUGUAUACAGUAGUGUGCAGCUUUCUUCAUUAUUAUGCUGCGACGUUCCCUCAGAGUGCUAUGUUUUUGUAUUUAUACACUAUGUAUGUUGUAGAAUGUAUUUAACAAGGGUUACUAUGCCCAUAAAACACUAUACAACUUUCAGCAACGGAUCUCUUGGCUCUCGCAUCGAUGAAGAACGCAGC